AUCCCCUUCGGGGGUGACGCUUGUGGAAUGAGCGGCGGACGGGUGAGUAACACGUGGGCAACCUGCCUGUAAGAUCGGAAUAACUCCGGGAAACCGGGGCUAAUGCCGGGUAAUCCUUUUUCUCGCAUGAGAGAAGGGUAAAAGAUGGCUUCUGGCUAUCACUUACAGAUGGGCCCGCGGCGCAUUAGCUAGUUGGUGAGGUAACGGCUCACCAAGGCAACGAUGCGUAGCCNACCUGAGAGGGUGAUCGGCCACACUGGGACUGAGACACGGCCCAGACUCCUACGGGAGGCAGCAGUAGGGAAUCUUCCGCAAUGGACGAAAGUCUGACGGAGCAACGCCGCGUGAACGAUGAAGGUCUUCGGAUCGUAAAGUUCUGUUGUUAGGGAAGAACAAGUACCGUUCAAACAGGGCGGUACCUUGACGGUACCUAACGAGGAAGCCCCGGCUAACUACGUGCCAGCAGCCGCGGUAAUACGUAGGGGGCAAGCGUUGUCCGGAAUUAUUGGGCGUAAAGCGCGCGCAGGCGGUUCCUUAAGUCUGAUGUGAAAGCCCACGGCUCAACCGUGGAGGGUCAUUGGAAACUGGGGAACUUGAGGACAGAAGAGGAGAGUGGAAUUCCACGUGUAGCGGUGAAAUGCG
Molecule: ribosomal RNA, 642 nt
Filed under: bacterium Cc26
Lineage: Bacteria
Description: bacterial SSU rRNA
Rfam family: Bacterial small subunit ribosomal RNA
Source: RNAcentral